UACGGAGGGUGCAAGCGUUAUCCGGAUUCACUGGGUUUAAAGGGUGCGUAGGUGGGUUGGUAAGUCAGUGGUGAAAUCCCCGAGCUUAACUUGGGAACUGCCAUUGAUACUAUCAGUCUUGAAUACCGUGGAGGUCAGCGGAAUAUGUCAUGUAGCGGUGAAAUGCUUAGAUAUGACAUAGAACACCAAUGGCGAAGGCAGCUGGCUACUCGGAUAUUGACACUGAGGCACGAAAGCGUGGGGAGCAAACAGG
RNAcentral lists this ribosomal RNA (253 nucleotides) under uncultured bacterium. RNAcentral describes it as "partial 16S ribosomal RNA". It matches the Rfam family "Bacterial small subunit ribosomal RNA", at positions 524 to 776 of the family's 1533-position model. The record is from RNAcentral.